This 446-nucleotide long non-coding RNA is filed under the name Gallus gallus (chicken). Lineage: Eukaryota; Metazoa; Chordata; Aves; Galliformes; Phasianidae. The record is from RNAcentral.
UGACAGAGAAAAUGAUUGAGAGGAUCAUGAAGGCUUGCGCUGCUUUGAGGGAAGGCUCAUUGUCGCCACUGAGUGUCAGCGGCUCACAGGUGUUGUUGCAAUACAUCCAGAGUCCCCAUGAGACAUUUCCAAGGGAACUCCUACCCACCAUCCAAACGUUGGCAAUGGUGGAGACGAAGAGCAUGAUGACGGUGGCAAUGUGAACCACAAAGAUACCAGCCAGUAGUACCAACAUCUUGGAUCCUUCCUAGGUGGUGUCACAGGCGCAGAGAGAUCGUGCGGUGCUGGCACCUGUGGAAGCAGGAGCGUGCGGGGCUGCGGUGCUGCUGUGCCGGAGCGCGGAGCUGUAGUGAAGGGGAGCGACCUGGUGGUGGUUUAAGUUUCCUCCAGCGGUGUGGGAGGGUGGUGUCUCUUAGCUCCGUUUUAAAGAAGUUACUAUGAAUCAG